Molecule: long non-coding RNA, 2635 nt
Filed under: Citrus x clementina
Lineage: Eukaryota; Viridiplantae; Streptophyta; Magnoliopsida; Sapindales; Rutaceae
Description: Citrus clementina (C. clementina) long non-coding RNA (CCLE_LNC006473)
Source: RNAcentral
AAGGUAAUUCGGUGAUUUACGAUUUCAGAGUAUUUUAAUGAUUUACGGACUGAGGGCAUUUUAGCAAUUUUAUCGACACGGGAGUUGUAAAUUAUGGAUAGAUGUUCGUUUCGAGUUUAUUGCAUAAAUUUAGUUGUAAUUCUGAUUUAUGGAAAAUAAUUAUGUCGUUUCCUUGAUUUAGGAGGAUCCGCGAGCGAGAACCGAUCCGCAGACGUGGACGAUAACCGAGCGUGAACACCGUCACUGUGAGUGGAAUAUACAAAACCUAUUUUCAUAGUUAAUUAGGAUAGUAAAGCAUGUUUGCGAAAUAAGUAUUUUAAAUGUUCUGAUUUAAUGAUUCCCUCAAAAUGAAUUUUAUUAACGCAUUGAUAUUUUAUUAAAAUGUUUGGUUAAUGGUUUUGCGUAUCGACUUUGAAUAAGCAUGUUAGUAUUUUAAAGAUAAGAAAAGUGGAUUCAAAUGUGGUAUGAUUUAAAGUAUGGUUAAAAGGUAUGUGAAUAUGAGUAUAAUGAGUAUUUUUUAAAUCAUUAGACAAUACCCUUCCCCUCCAGAUACAGUGAUACAGAUGUGAUGAGAUAGAGGUCUUUGGGGCCCGUCUGAACACACAUAGAGGCUUUGGGCCGUGUGUUUGGGCGCUUUUUUCCUUUUAGGAGCAUAUGCAUGCGGUAUGAUGAUUACAUAGAUACAGAUAUUGAGAUACAGAUGAGAUACAGACCUUUGGGGCCCGUCUGAGUACACAGAGGUUUUGGGCCGUGUGCUUGGGCGCUUUUGUCCUUUAGGGACUAGAUUAUACAUGCACAGAUAUGAUGAGAUAUGAGAUGGUAUUUUUAUGUCUAUUCGUGUAGCUCCGGGGCGUGACGGUAUCUAUAUAGUACGUCAUUGCCCGUCCGUUGAGAUCCGGAUACGACGAGAUUAUUUCCCUGGGUACUUGUGUGGUGAUGAUUUUCAAAUUUGUGUAUUAUAUAUGAUAUUGUGAUAUGAUUUCCAUGGUUAGUAAUCUGAUUUAAAUGUUAAAUGAUUUAUUACUGGUUUCUCGCAUAUGGUUUGAUGAAAUUGUGUUUGGAAAUUAUAUGAUUAUUUCUUUUAAAAUAAGAAUUAAUUUUCAAAAACUACUAUCCACUCACUGAUCUCACUGAGUUUUAAACUCAUCCCGUUUUUAUUAUAUUUUUUCCCCCACCAGGAGGUUGCAGGUACACCAGACCGACCCAGCGACUGUAAAUAUAUUUUGAAACGUGAUGGUGUUAGAAGAUAUAGAUGAUUUUGUUAGGAUAUUUCAGUUAUCUUGUCCUUUUGGGAUUGUAUAAAUUUGUUAUAUUAUUCUUUUGGGAUUAAGAAUAAACUGAGAUAUUAAUAUUAGUUAUAAUAUUAUCUUUUUAGACUUUGGAGAUAUCUUGAGUAAAAGUCAGUAUUUUGGUUGAGGAUGUUGAUAAUUGGAGUUGUUGUAUGUUGAAUUAUAUUGGGAGUGUUAUAUUUAUAAAGGAAACUGCUGAAUUUUUAGCAGAAUCUUUAUUAAUAGAAUUAUUAUCAAGUUCGUUUUGAUAAGACUAGAUUGACUUGCCCGGAGGGGAUUCAGGGCGGGUCGUUUCAUGAGACAGAAAGAAACCGUCCACUACCCAAUCGGGUAGUCCAUCUGGGUACAUGGGUACCCAACAUACCCCAGCAAAUGCCUGCCUUAGAUGCUCCUGCAUGGGCUGCUCAUAUUUAGGUACCUCGGAGUCUUCUGUUGACCACCAUUUGAAGAAAGAUGUUGGGGAUGAUGUACCCCUUUUAGUUUAGUUAUCACUUUGUGCUGUUAUUUUUCUUGGGCUCCCCACAUUCUGCACUUGGAACUUAUUUCUUUCUUUUGAUUUUUUUGGGAUAUUUUGCAUUGCUUGGAUGUCUCUACUCUUGUGAUACUGUGCUAUUAAGCCCCUUGUUUUGUAUUUACAUGUAGUAGUAUUUUACAUCCUUGUUACUCUGCAUCUAAGUACUUGGCUAAGUUGUCAUUUUGUAAAUUUUCGGGGUACCUCGCAUUAUAUUUGACAAAUUCUUCUCUGAAAGGGGUACCUAAGGUACCCAACAAAGAGAUCAUAUUAGGCGCCUAAUGGCUCACAUAGACACAUUUGCUGCAUGUCUUUUUUGAAAAUUAUGUUGAAUCUCAACAAAUGGAUAAUCAAAGCAUCGUCAUAACAUUUUGAUUAUAAUUAAGAGUAUGUAGUUGGUGCACCAAAUUUAUUUCUUGCUCUUCUGAAGCUUUCCCCAAAAUUUUGAAUUGCCUAUUCUCCACUGGUGUGUGCAAUUUCUAAUGCUAUGAGUGUCAAUGUGUAAGUGUACACAACAAGUAAUAUACUGAUGAGUACUCAAAUCGUCUAUACAAGGAUUGAUGUUAUUAGAUUUGCUACAGCAACCUUAACAGUGUAGUCUUAUUCUAAAUUAAAAUAAGACAAUCUAUGAAACUAAUAAACUAAUUAAAAUAAAAAUGCAAUAAAGAAAAUGAUCUCAUCAAACACAAGUAUUAAUGUAACGCCCACUUUUAUUUUUAUUUUUUCUCUUUUACCCUUAUUAACUUGAGUAGGAUAGUUAUUAUUAAGUGUUUGUGUGUGAGUAAAAUUUAUCAAAUUACUUUAAAUAAGUUACAUAAGUUGUUAGUUUUUAUAA